This is a long non-coding RNA of Bubalus bubalis (water buffalo), 427 nucleotides long. RefSeq lists it as uncharacterized. The record is from RefSeq and is a predicted model, not a curated record. The transcript is spliced from 3 exons. NCBI's taxonomy places the organism in Eukaryota, Metazoa, Chordata, Mammalia, Artiodactyla, Bovidae.
CAAGUACACAGGAAGGUCCUUGACGUUCAGACACCCUCGCCCCUACCCCGCGGGGAUGGUCCGUCGUGCUCAGAACCCCCCACCCGGGGAAGAGGGCAGCUGCGGGGGAAGCCUGGAUGCUCUGAGGGUGUCGCUGCAGUAGAUGAACAAAGGUAUAACAGCGAGUCUGGAGAGGGCAAAGUAGCAGAAAAAUGGCUGAUCUCAUGGUGGUCGUGGUGGGAAGACCUGUGUUGUGGACAAACGGAAGGAACCCAGAUCCUCUCAGAUUAAGGACUGGACUUUAUUUGAAGCCCAAGGAAGAAGCAUGAUUGUAAGAUGGGAAAGAAGAUGAAUAGGAAUAGACCAGAUCUACAAAGUGAAAGAAGAGCUAAAGACAGAUUCAACCCACUCUGCAGAAAAAAAUUAUGUAAAAAUUAAAAGAUAACUG